AAAUUGGUUUAAAUCAUCCAAUUUCUUUCUAUUAAAAACAGUAACCGGGUAUCAUGCCAAUAACAAGGUUUUUUUACCGUCGUUCUUUGAUUCUUAGGUCCGAUUCUUGUUGUUUAAUUUCUUUCCCAAUAGCAUUAUCAUUGGUCAUAUAUAACAUUUUCAGUGAUUUGCCCUAAAUCUCCUUUGUUAGUUUGUUCUCAAAGACAAUGAGCGAUUCAAUUAUCUCGAGCUCAAUCCAAUUGUUAAAGAGUUUUCUCUUUUAUUCUGGGUAGUUGUGGUUUUUCUAAGACUCAUGUUAAGGUUGUUGUGCAUCUACACCUUAAAGACACGUUUAGUAAUAUGUUUUUGCAACAUCCCAGAAUCUUCUUUUUGUGUUUCUUCGAGAUCUUCUAGCUGACUCUUUAAGCAAAUUGACCAAUCUUUUUCUUUUUGAUUCUCUGAAAAAUUUUAUUGGACUCGCCUUUUCUUAUUUUGGUUUGCAAGUAGUGGUUAAAAGCUUGCAUAGGUAGCCAAGUACCUGUGUGGUGUUGGUGGGUAGUAUGUGAUGAAAUUGGUGACAAUUAUCGAAAAUUUGUAAUCUGUGAUAUAUCUUGUAUUUCUAGAUGUAUGUGGAGAUUUUAUCCCGUCAUUCAUAUCCACUCCAAGUGACCAAAGUUUUCUAAACUAUGAUGCUUGCGGGUGUCCACACAACUUCCCCGUGAAACCGAAAGCUACUAUCCAUUGUUCCAUCAUGUCAUCGAGUACCAAUUCCCAACACACCACCUUUGUACUUGAUGACAUGAUUGAAUGGUGGGUAGUAGUGUUCAAUUUCACGGCAAAAGCUGUGGGGACAGCCGCAAGCAUUUGGAGUGGAUGUGAGUGACGACAUAAAUUCUUCACAUCCAUCUAGAAUGAAAAGAUAUCACUGAUUGCCAAUAUUAGCAUUGACUCCACUAGUUUCAUCCUCAUACCACCCUACAACACACAUGUACUUCGCCGCCAACCCAAACUUUCAACCACAACUUGCAAACCAUAAUUUCGAAAAAAAAACUAGUCAAAUCAAAAGUUUAUGAGGAUAAAAAAGAAACAAUUCAGAAAUUUGCUUAAAGAAUCAGAUGGAAGAUCUUGAAGAAAUACAAAGAGACGAUUCUUGAAUUUUGUAAAGAUUUGAGGGUUGAUAAACGUGUGUUUAAGGUGUGGUGGAUCCACAACCACAAAAAACACGAGUCAAAUAAAACCACCAAGGAAAGGGAGGAUACUCUUGUACCUCUUAAUUAAGCCUGAUGAUGUUGAUUAUGGGUGGUAAAGUUUGUUCGUGUUGUCAUCCAAUUUGAAGCAACCAUCAAUAUUUAGCUUCUUCAUGUAGCAGAAGUUUGAUCCAAAGUUUGAGGAAUUGGAUUCGGUAAUGUGGGAUGUAUGCGAAACCCUACUGAGUAACUUAGUGUGGCUCCGGAGAAGAGUUGGUCGAACCCCUUUUUUUUACCACAUGCAUUGUUGCCUCAGAAUGUUAGCUCGUGGUGUUGUGUUCCGAACAUAGUUCCGUUCUCCUUUAGAGAUCUCUUGGAUCUCCACAACUCAAGCGGCUUGAAGGAAUAGGAAAAAGAAGCUUUCCACGGUAUCAUUAUCAUCGGUUGGAGUUUUUGGAAAGAGGAAUGGGCUAAACUUUUCGAACAAGCAGGUGAAGAUUGAAGACAUUAUUAGUGAAGUCAAAUCGGUUGGGUUUUUUUUUUGGUUUAAAAGUAGGUCCAAACACAAGUCUAUUUAUUGGGCGCAUUGAUGUAAAUUUAUAAUUAUGUUGUCGGUUCGUUUUGUUUGUUUGUUGCCCCUGUUUUGCGGGGUGGUGCUUGGGUGGUAAAUUCAUAAAAGAAUUAUCUUUAGUUUCCUUCUAAAAUGUGAAGUCGACUCAGGGUGAAGUAUAUGUGUGAGAAUUCUGGAUAA
This 1917-nucleotide long non-coding RNA is filed under the name Helianthus annuus (common sunflower). RNAcentral describes it as "hypothetical non coding rna". The record is from RNAcentral. Lineage: Eukaryota; Viridiplantae; Streptophyta; Magnoliopsida; Asterales; Asteraceae.